GCUUAGUCGAUCGGGAGUUUGAAAGUACGAAGAAGCUGAAAUUGACAUACCCACAUAUAAUCUAUAAUCUGUAAGCAACGCAAGGGAACACAAUUCAUAGGCAGGUUGUUUUCAGAUAUUCAAGCAAAUGAAAACACAUACGUAUAUGAUCCUGGAGAGACCAAGUUUUUACCGCACGUCAAAUCGGCCAAAAUCUCAUGAUGCCAUCCAUCAUCUAAGGAAGGAGAUCAUAUUGCAAGACUAGCACGCAAGCAGUAAUUGAAAAACUUGCUACAGACCUCAACAGUGAUGGUAUGGUACCUCAAAUGCGUGCCGGCCUUCAAGUUGCGGCAAAUUGCUCUGCGGAUUUUCUCCACAAGAACAGCAGUAGAAUACCACCACGUUGCACAUGUUUGAACUAUUACUUUAAAAUAAUGAUAUCACCUGUUAGCAGGCAUUUUUACUAUAAAACGCAGGCAAAGAUGACGAUCCCAUAGACCAAGGCAACAAAUUCAUCUUGGAAGUUUCUUUAAAUCAAUUGACUCAAGUCGGAUCCCAUAGCUAUGAAGACUGUUCAUCUUUUAGCACGUUAGUCUUGACAAGUUCAAUGCUUAUAUAUUAGUUUUAGUGAGUUGAAGUUCCCUCAACGGGGAACCCCAACUCAUUUGUUGUAUAAUUUGCAGCUGGUGUUUUAUUCCAACCAAUGUCAUCCUCGCAGAUGUGAUCGGGCUAAGGAUAUUAGAUCCACUUUGAUUCCGAACUCAUUAAAUGAAACAGAAAGGACUUAAUGAAUGAAAGCAGAGUACACACUGACUACUGUUCAUCAAUUACAUUACCUUGCUGAAGUCAUCAUACGAAAGCUAAACAAUAGAAAAGCCCAAAAGCUGUAAAGAAAUUCAAACCAAUUCAACGGAAAACUAUAGCCCUUUUCUGCCAAGUCUAGACAAUGGUGGUGAUACAGAGAACAGAGAGUGCUGGCUGAACCAAAGCAUAUAUAUAAGAAUUGACUAAUUUAUCUGCAUAGACUCAGCAUGAUACUUUUCCAAGUCAGCAUCAAGAUCUUCAGCGGAUACUUUUUCACUUGGACCUCUUCCCCGCCCACGCCCUCUUCCAAAACCACGACCACGUUGACGUGAUGGUGGACCACCCCUACCUUGCUGCCUUCUAGGAGCCCCAUUUAAAUUUUCGAAAGGGUUCGCAGCAGUGGUAAGACCAACAGCAGGCGUGGAAAUAUUAGUUCCAACGAUCUCUAUCUUCAUUGGUUUUCCAUCAAGCUGAACGUUGUUGUACUUCUUGACGGCCGCAACAGCAUCUAGUCGUCUUGAGAAAACUACUUCUGCUGUUCCCUUGGAUCUCCCACUCUUGUCAUAGUGGAUCCCGUAACGUUUCAUCUCACCAACUUCAGAAAGAAGUUCCUUAAUAUCUUCGUUAGAAACGCCGUAAUCCAAAUUAGAUAUGUAAAGCUUCGUCCCAGUCUGAAUGGCGGAGGCUCUCCCAGCUUGCACAGGGAAUCCAGAACCCGAAUCGGCGAACAUAUCGUGCUGCCACGUCGUCUCCGGCGCCUUGGGAGCGGAAUAAGGUGUGCGACUAGCGGCGCGAUUGGGAAAUCGACGGACGGGACCGGGUCCAGAACCUCUUCCGCGACCUCUAGAAUUACCGGAUCUGGAUUUUUUAUUGUUCUUUAUGAUAUCAUCAAGACUCAUAUCCAAAGGAGCGGCCAUGUUUAAAGAGUAAUUGAAGAGAAAAACAGUGAAGAAGCAGUCGAAAAGAAAAGAGUGAGAAGAAAAGGGAAUUAGGGUUUCGCAGAUUCGUCGAUAGGGAAGGGUUUGGGGAGAGAGAGAUUGGGGGGCGG
This 1831-nucleotide unclassified non-coding RNA is filed under the name Hevea brasiliensis (rubber tree). The record is from RNAcentral. Lineage: Eukaryota; Viridiplantae; Streptophyta; Magnoliopsida; Malpighiales; Euphorbiaceae.